GCUGUGAUCGUAUAGUGGUUAGUACUCUGCGUUGUGGCUGCAAAAAUCCUGGUUCGUAUCCGGGUCACAGCA
Oryzias latipes (Japanese medaka) is the source of this 72-nucleotide non-coding RNA. NCBI's taxonomy places the organism in Eukaryota, Metazoa, Chordata, Actinopteri, Beloniformes, Adrianichthyidae. The record is from Rfam.